UACGUAGGGUGCGAGCGUUAAUCGGAAUUACUGGGCGUAAAGCGUGCGCAGGCGGUUCGUUGUGUCGGUGGUGAAAUCCCCGGGCUUAACCUGGGAAUGGCCAUGGAAACUGGCGAACUGGAGUGCGGCAGAGGGGGGUGGAAUUCCGCGUGUAGCAGUGAAAUGCGUAGAGAUCAGGAAGAACACCGGUGGCGAAAGCGCUCUGCUAGGCCGCAACUGACACUGAGGGACGAAAGCUAGGGGAGCGAAUGGG
RNAcentral lists this ribosomal RNA (253 nucleotides) under uncultured bacterium. Its description in RNAcentral is "partial 16S ribosomal RNA". It matches the Rfam family "Bacterial small subunit ribosomal RNA", at positions 524 to 776 of the family's 1533-position model. The record is from RNAcentral.